This 73-nucleotide transfer RNA is filed under the name bacterium. RNAcentral's name for it is "tRNA-Lys". It matches the Rfam family "tRNA". From Rfam's summary of the family: Transfer RNA (tRNA) molecules are approximately 80 nucleotides in length. Their secondary structure includes four short double-helical elements and three loops (D, anti-codon, and T loops). Further hydrogen bonds mediate the characteristic L-shaped molecular structure. tRNAs have two regions of fundamental functional importance: the anti-codon, which is responsible for specific mRNA codon recognition, and the 3' end, to which the tRNAs corresponding amino acid is attached (by aminoacyl-tRNA synthetases). tRNAs cope with the degeneracy of the genetic code in two manners: having more than one tRNA (with a specific anti-codon) for a particular amino acid; and 'wobble' base-pairing, i.e. permitting non-standard base-pairing at the 3rd anti-codon position. The record is from RNAcentral.
GCGCCAUUAGCUCAGUUGGUAGAGCAGCCGACUCUUAAUCGGGAGAUCGGGGGUUCGAAUCCCUCAUGGCGCA